GAGCCGUGAUGACACGCCUCCCUGAUGGUUGGGUCCAUCAAUUCAGCUUGACUUUCAAGAUUGACAAUACAGGCCCUUCUGAGCUC
Molecule: small nucleolar RNA, 86 nt
Organism: Cynara cardunculus var. scolymus (artichoke)
Lineage: Eukaryota; Viridiplantae; Streptophyta; Magnoliopsida; Asterales; Asteraceae
Product: small nucleolar RNA snoR114
Exons: 1
Source: RefSeq, a predicted model, not a curated record